RNAcentral lists this long non-coding RNA (417 nucleotides) under Linum usitatissimum (flax). RNAcentral describes it as "long non-coding RNA (LUSI_LNC006805)". Lineage: Eukaryota; Viridiplantae; Streptophyta; Magnoliopsida; Malpighiales; Linaceae. The record is from RNAcentral.
GUCCCAAGAGCUUUUAUCAACAGGUGAGCUGAAGCCAGAUUGUUAUGGAGGUUUGUUUAUAUAUAUGAGUUUCUAUUAGAAGAAACAUGUGAAAGGAAGAAAAUAAAUUAAGUUUGAUAUAUAUAUGUUCAUGAAGAUUAGAGUUGAGAGAAGUCUACCGUCUAACAAGAUUCCAAGCAGACCAGGGCCUGCAGAAAGAGGAAAAGGAAACGAAUCGAGAAACUCUGUAUCGUUUCCAAUUUUUAUCGGAUGUAUAUCAAAAUGGAAUAGAAGAGAACAUCUCUUUACCUUUAUAAGAGUACUUGAGUUUAUACCGUAGUUCUUCUGCACAGGAGGAAAGCACACUUGAAAAGUGAGCAUCUGUUUAUUUAAAAGCACUGCUGAUUAGAUAUGAUGGGAUAUAUGUUAUGAAGUUAC